AGUGAACGCUGGCGGUAGGCCUAACACAUGCAAGUCGAACGGCAGCACAGUAAGAGCUUGCUCUUACGGGUGGCGAGUGGCGGACGGGUGAGGAAUACAUCGGAAUCUACUUUUUCGUGGGGGAUAACGUAGGGAAACUUACGCUAAUACCGCAUACGACCUACGGGUGAAAGCAGGGGAUCUUCGGACCUUGCGCGAUUGAAUGAGCCGAUGUCGGAUUAGCUAGUUGGCGGGGUAAAGGCCCACCAAGGCGACGAUCCGUAGGUGGUCUGAGAGGAUGAUCAGCCACACUGGAACUGAGACACGGUCCAGACGCCUACGGGAGGCAGCAGUGGGGAAUAUUGGACAAUGGGCGCAAGCCUGAUCCAGCCAUACCGCGUGGGUGAAGAAGGCCUUCGGGUUGUAAAGCCCUUUUGUUGGGAAAGAAAAGCAGCAGGUUAAUACCCCGCUGUUCUGACGGUACCCAAAGAAUAAGCACCGGCUAACUUCGU
RNAcentral lists this ribosomal RNA (491 nucleotides) under uncultured bacterium. RNAcentral describes it as "partial 16S ribosomal RNA". It matches the Rfam family "Bacterial small subunit ribosomal RNA", at positions 29 to 506 of the family's 1533-position model. The record is from RNAcentral.